AGUGAACGCUGGCGGUAGGCCUAACACAUGCAAGUCGAACGGCAGCACAGUAAGAGCUUGCUCUUACGGGUGGCGAGUGGCGGACGGGUGAGGAAUACAUCGGAAUCUACUUUUUCGUGGGGGAUAACGUAGGGAAACUUACGCUAAUACCGCAUACGACCUACGGGUGAAAGCAGGGGAUCUUCGGACCUUGCGCGAUUGAAUGAGCCGAUGUCGGAUUAGCUAGUUGGCGGGGUAAAGGCCCACCAAGGCGACGAUCCCUAGCUGGUCUGAGAGGAUGAUCCGCCACAACUGAACUGGGGCACGGUUCAGGCUCCUACGGGAAGCAGCAGGGGGGAAUAUUGGACAAUGGGCGCAAGCCUGAUCCAGCCAUACCGCGUGGGUGAAGAAGGCCUUCGGGUUGUAAAGCCCUUUUGUUGGGAAAGAAAAGCAGCAGGUUAAUACCCCGCUGUUCUGACGGUACCCAAAGAAUAAGCACCGGCUAACUUCGUG
This 492-nucleotide ribosomal RNA is filed under the name uncultured bacterium. RNAcentral describes it as "partial 16S ribosomal RNA". It matches the Rfam family "Bacterial small subunit ribosomal RNA", at positions 29 to 507 of the family's 1533-position model. The record is from RNAcentral.